This 263-nucleotide ribosomal RNA is filed under the name uncultured bacterium. RNAcentral describes it as "partial 16S ribosomal RNA". It matches the Rfam family "Bacterial small subunit ribosomal RNA", at positions 91 to 354 of the family's 1533-position model. The record is from RNAcentral.
CUUAGUGGCGGACGGGUGAGUAACGCGUGGGUAACCUGCCUUACACUGGGGGAUAACACUUAGAAAUAGGUGCUAAUACCGCAUAAGCGCACGAAGCCGCAUGGAUUUGUGUGAAAAACUCCGGUGGUGUAAGAUGGACCCGCGUCUGAUUAGCUUGUUGGCGGGGUAGAGGCCCACCAAGGCGACGAUCAGUAGCCGGCCUGAGAGGGUGGACGGCCACAUUGGGACUGAGACACGGCCCAAACUCCUACGGAAGGCAGCAG